AUUGAACGCUGGCGGCAGGCCUAACACAUGCAAGCCGAGCGGAUGACGGGAGCUUGCUCCUUGAUUCAGCGGCGGACGGGUGAGUAAUGCCUAGGAAUCUGCCUGGUAGUGGGGGACAACGUUACGAAAGGAACGCUAGUACCGCAUACGGCCUACGGGAGAAAGCAGGGGACCUUCGGGCCUUGCGCUAUCAGAUGAGCCUAGGUCGGAUUAGCUAGUUGGUGGGGUAAUGACUCACCAAGGCGACGAUCCGUAACUGGUCUGAGAAGAUGGUCGAUGACGCUGGAACUGAGACACGGUCCAGACUCCUACGGGAGGAAGCAGUGGGGAAGAUUAGACCAUGGGCGGGAGCCUGAUCCAGCCAGGCCGCGUGUGAGAAGAGGGUCUUCGGAUUGUGAAGCGCGUUGAGUUGGGAGGAAGGGCUGUAAGCUAAUUCCUGGUUGUUUUGACGGUACAGGCAGAAUAAGCACCGGCUAACUCUGUGCCAGCAGCCGCCGUAA
This 500-nucleotide ribosomal RNA is filed under the name uncultured bacterium. RNAcentral's name for it is "partial 16S ribosomal RNA". It matches the Rfam family "Bacterial small subunit ribosomal RNA", at positions 30 to 523 of the family's 1533-position model. The record is from RNAcentral.